RNAcentral lists this ribosomal RNA (312 nucleotides) under uncultured actinomycete. Its description in RNAcentral is "bacterial SSU rRNA". It matches the Rfam family "Bacterial small subunit ribosomal RNA", at positions 220 to 525 of the family's 1533-position model. The record is from RNAcentral. Lineage: Bacteria; Bacillati; Actinomycetota; Actinomycetes; Actinomycetales.
AUUGGAUGAGCCCGCGGCCUAUCAGCUUGUUGGUGAGGUAAUGGCUCACCAAGGCGACGACGGGUAGCUGAUCUGAGAGGACGAUCAGCCACACUGGGACUGAGACACGGCCCAGACUCCUACGGGAGGCAGCAGUGGGGAAUCUUGCGCAAUGGGCGAAAGCCUGACGCAGCAACGCCGCGUGGAGGAAGAAGGCCUUAGGGUUGUAAACUCCUGUCAGGGGGGAAGAAGGCACCUGGGUUAAUAGCCCAAGGGCUGACGGUACCCCCAGAGGAAGCCACGGCUAACUACGUGCCAGCAGCCGCGGCCGAU